GGCUUCCUAGCUCAGUUGGUAGAGCAUUGCACCCGUAACGUAGAGGUCCUGGGUUUUUAAAAUCCCGUUAAAGUUG
Molecule: non-coding RNA, 76 nt
Organism: Desmophyllum pertusum
Lineage: Eukaryota; Metazoa; Cnidaria; Anthozoa; Scleractinia; Caryophylliidae
Source: the annotation of a GenBank genome assembly